UUACNCAUGCAAGUCGAACGGCAGCACGGGAGCAAUCCUGGUGGCGAGUGGCAAACGGGUGAGUAAUAUAUCGGAACGUGCCCAGUCGUGGGGGAUAACGCAGCGAAAGCUGUGCUAAUACCGCAUACGAUCUAUGGAUGAAAGCGGGGGACUCGCAAGAGCCUCGCGCGAUUGGAGCGGCCGAUAUCAGAUUAGCUUGUUGGUGGGGUAAAAGCCCACCAAGGCGACGAUCUGUAGCUGGUCUGAGAGGACGACCAGCCACACUGGAACUGAGACACGGUCCAGACUCCUACGGGAGGCAGCAGUGGGGAAUUUUGGACAAUGGGCGCAAGCCUGAUCCAGCAAUGCCGCGUGCAGGAUGAAGGCCUUCGGGUUGUAAACUGCUUUUGUACGGAACGAAACGGCUCUUUCUAAUAAAGAGGGCUAAUGACGGUACCGUAAGAAUAAGCACCGGCUAACUACGUGCCAGCAGCCGCGGUAAUACGUAGGGUGCGAGCGUUAAUCGGAAUUACUGGGCGUAAAGCGUGCGCAGGCGGUUAUAUAAGACAGAUGUGAAAUCCCCGGGCUCAACCUGGGACCUGCAUUUGUGACUGUAUAGCUAGAGUACGGUAGAGGGGGAUGGAAUUCCGCGUGUAGCAGUGAAAUGCGUAGAUAUGCGGAGGAACACCGAUGGCGAAGGCAAUCCCCUGGACCUGUACUGACGCUCAUGCACGAAAGCGUGGGGAGCAAACAGGAUCAGAUACCCUGGUAGUCCACGCCCUAAACGAUGUCAACUGGUUGUUGGGUCUUCACUGACUCAGUAACGAAGCUAACGCGUGAAGUUGACCGCCUGGGGAGUACGGCCGCANGUGAAACUCAAAGGA
Molecule: ribosomal RNA, 863 nt
Filed under: uncultured bacterium
Lineage: Bacteria
Description: bacterial SSU rRNA
Rfam family: Bacterial small subunit ribosomal RNA
Source: RNAcentral